ACAAGAGGGCGGUGUGACUAGCAAAUGAAGUGUGGAAGACCCAUCAGCAGUGGAGGUUGCUGGGGACAACGGCUGAUGAAGCCUUCUCACGGUGCAGGAUCUUUGUCUCCCCCAAACCAACCAAGGCUGCAUUAACCUUUCCUGAAAAUAAAAAACAGUUCUGCUUUUACCAUUUGGGGGCCUGAGGCAAGUGUUCAAAUAGAAGCCCUCCUGCCAGUCUAUUAAAUGAAGCUACUAAACUAUUAAAUAGAAUAUGUUUGCUCCUCUCACCUUCCUCUCUGCUCAAUAGCAUGCCUCUUAACCACCUGGAGGCUGGGUCUACCUUCUGCCUUUCCUGCCACAAGACCUUGUCUUGUGCCCAGAGGGCCUCAGGCACGUGCGUGUGGACACCACAUUCCCAUCCACUAGAAUGGCAAACAUUACAAAGACUGUUGAAAGUGUUGUCACGGAUGUGAAGCAACUGAAACCCUUAGACACUGCUGGUGGGGAUGCAAAAUGGCACAGUCACUUUAGAAAACAGUAUGGCAAUUUCUAAUGAGGUCCCACAUGCAGCU
Molecule: long non-coding RNA, 554 nt
Filed under: Pongo abelii (Sumatran orangutan)
Lineage: Eukaryota; Metazoa; Chordata; Mammalia; Primates; Hominidae
Description: lincRNA
Source: RNAcentral